CGCUGAACUUAAGCAUAUCAAUAAGCGGAGGAAAAGAAACUAACAAGGAUUCCCCUAGUAACGGCGAGUGAAGCGGGAUGAGCUCAAGCUUAAAAUCUCCGUGCAAGUUUUGCACGGCGAAUUGUAGUCUAUAGAGGCGUGGUCAGUGAGGGCGCUCGGGGCAAGUUCCUUGGAAGAGGACAGCAUGGAGGGUGAUACUCCCGUUCAUCCCUGAGUGGCUUUUGCGUACGACCCGUGUUCUUUGAGUCGCGUUGUUUGGGAAUGCAGCGCAAAGUAGGUGGUAAAUUCCAUCUAAAGCUAAAUAUUGGUGCGAGACCGAUAGCGAACAAGUACCGUGAGGGAAAGAUGAAAAGAACUUUGAAAAGAGAGUUAAAGAGUACCUGAAACUGCUGAAAGGGAACCGAAUCGUUUCCAGUGUCUAUAAUCCGUGGCAUAUUUCAUUGGCGAGUGUGUGCGUGCGUGUGCUGUGGCAGUGGCUUUUUUGGCUGCGCUCGGCGUGUGUGCUGUGURUGCUUGUUGGUGCCCUGUGCUGCGGUGGGACGUCAAGGUCAGUUCGUAUGCUGCGGGAAAUGGCUGCCGAGGAGGUAGGGCUUACGCUCCGCGUUUGUCUGUUAUAUCUUGGUGGACGAGUAGUCGCGGUUGGGACUGAGGUGCCUACAACGUGCUUUUGAGUGUGUAUGGGUCUCCGUGUGCGCCGUGUGCGGAUAGCUUGCUAUGCGUGUGUGGUUGUGUGUGGAUUGAUGCGUACUGUAACUUGUCGCCGUUCGGGACGUUGACGAAAUGGAGCGAUCCGACCCGUCUUGAAACACGGACCAAGGAGUCUAACAUGUGUGCAAGUGUUAGGGUGUGGAAACCCCAGCGCGAAAUGAAAGUGAAGGGCAGCGCAAGUUGUCUGAGGUAGGAAACGUUGCGGGCUUCGGUCUGCGGCGUGGCACUAUCGACCGAUCAUGAGCCUUCGUGGUGAAAGAUUUGAGUUUGAGCACAUAUGUUGGUACCCGAAAGAUGGUGAACUAUGCCUGAGUAGGGUGAAGCCAGGGGAAACUCUGGUGGAAGCUCGUAGCGAUUCUGACGUGCAAAUCGAUCGUCAAACUUGGGUAUAGGGGCGAAAGACUAAUCGAACCAUCUAGUAGCUGGUUCCCUCCGAAAUUUCCCUCAGGAUAGCAGCAACUUUUUUACGAUAGUUUUAUGAGGUAAAGCGAAUGAUUAGAGGAUUCGGGGAAGAAACUUUCUCGACCUAUUCUCAAACUUUAAAUCUGUAAGACCUGCAGGUUUCUUAAUUGAACUUGUGGAUGUGAAUAUCAAGUUGCUAGUGGGCCAUACGGGGUAAGCUCGUCUGGCG
RNAcentral lists this ribosomal RNA (1339 nucleotides) under Phytophthora ramorum (sudden oak death agent). Its description in RNAcentral is "eukaryotic LSU rRNA". It matches the Rfam family "Eukaryotic large subunit ribosomal RNA", at positions 26 to 1155 of the family's 3401-position model. Lineage: Eukaryota; Oomycota; Peronosporomycetes; Peronosporales; Peronosporaceae. The record is from RNAcentral.